CAGGACUGUCCCAUACUCUUAAAACUAAAGAAAAUGGGAUCUAGAUCAAGUGAUGACUGAUGGGAUUAUUGACUCAGGAGCCUAUGGAUGUUUCAUCGACCACCAUGUUGUAAAAUCUAAUAAAAUACCCACUAUUCAAAAGCA
Long non-coding RNA from Bombina bombina (fire-bellied toad), 144 nucleotides. RefSeq lists it as uncharacterized. The transcript is spliced from 2 exons. NCBI's taxonomy places the organism in Eukaryota, Metazoa, Chordata, Amphibia, Anura, Bombinatoridae. The record is from RefSeq and is a predicted model, not a curated record.